ACUAAGCGUACACGGUGGAUGCCCUGGCAGUCAGAGGCGAUGAAGGACGUGCUAAUCUGCGAUAAGCGUCGGUAAGGUGAUAUGAACCGUUAUAACCGGCGAUUUCCGAAUGGGGAAACCCAGUGUGAUUCGUCACACUAUCAUUAACUGAAUCCAUAGGUUAAUGAGGCGAACCGGGGGAACUGAAACAUCUAAGUACCCCGAGGAAAAGAAAUCAACCGAGAUUCCCCCAGUAGCGGCGAGCGAACGGGGAGCAGCCCAGAGCCUGAAUCAGUGUGUGUGUUAGUGGAAGCGUCUGGAAAGGCGCGCGAUACAGGGUGACAGCCCCGUACACAAAAAUGCACAUACUGUGAGCUCGAUGAGUAGGGCGGGACACGUGGUAUCCUGUCUGAAUAUGGGGGGACCAUCCUCCAAGGCUAAAUACUCCUGACUGACCGAUAGUGAACCAGUACCGUGAGGGAAAGGCGAAAAGAACCCCGGCGAGGGGAGUGAAAAAGAACCUGAAACCGUGUACGUACAAGCAGUGGGAGCACGCUUAGGCGUGUGACUGCGUACCUUUUGUAUAAUGGGUCAGCGACUUAUAUUCUGUAGCAAGGUUAACCGAAUAGGGGAGCCGAAGGGAAACCGAGUCUUAACUGGGCGUUAAGUUGCAGGGUAUAGACCCGAAACCCGGUGAUCUAGCCAUGGGCAGGUUGAAGGUUGGGUAACACUAACUGGAGGACCGAACCGACUAAUGUUGAAAAAUUAGCGGAUGACUUGUGGCUGGGGGUGAAAGGCCAAUCAAACCGGGAGAUAGCUGGUUCUCCCCGAAAGCUAUUUAGGUAGCGCCUCGUGAAUUCAUCUCCGGGGGUAGAGCACUGUUUCGGCAAGGGGGUCAUCCCGACUUACCAACCCGAUGCAAACUGCGAAUACCGGAGAAUGUUAUCACGGGAGACACACGGCGGGUGCUAACGUCCGUCGUGAAGAGGGAAACAACCCAGACCGCCAGCUAAGGUCCCAAAGUCAUGGUUAAGUGGGAAACGAUGUGGGAAGGCCCAGACAGCCAGGAUGUUGGCUUAGAAGCAGCCAUCAUUUAAAGAAAGCGUAAUAGCUCACUGGUCGAGUCGGCCUGCGCGGAAGAUGUAACGGGGCUAAACCAUGCACCGAAGCUGCGGCAGCGACGCUGAUGCGUUGUUGGGUAGGGGAGCGUUCUGUAAGCCUGUGAAGGUGUGCUGUGAGGCAUGCUGGAGGUAUCAGAAGUGCGAAUGCUGACAUAAGUAACGAUAAAGCGGGUGAAAAGCCCGCUCGCCGGAAGACCAAGGGUUCCUGUCCAACGUUAAUCGGGGCAGGGUGAGUCGACCCCUAAGGCGAGGCCGAAAGGCGUAGUCGAUGGGAAACAGGUUAAUAUUCCUGUACUUGGUGUUACUGCGAAGGGGGGACGGAGAAGGCUAUGUUGGCCGGGCGACGGUUGUCCCGGUUUAAGCGUGUAGGCUGGUUUUCCAGGCAAAUCCGGAAAAUCAAGGCUGAGGCGUGAUGACGAGGCACUACGGUGCUGAAGCAACAAAUGCCCUGCUUCCAGGAAAAGCCUCUAAGCAUCAGGUAACAUCAAAUCGUACCCCAAACCGACACAGGUGGUCAGGUAGAGAAUACCAAGGCGCUUGAGAGAACUCGGGUGAAGGAACUAGGCAAAAUGGUGCCGUAACUUCGGGAGAAGGCACGCUGAUAUGUAGGUGAAGCGACUUGCUCGUGGAGCUGAAAUCAGUCGAAGAUACCAGCUGGCUGCAACUGUUUAUUAAAAACACAGCACUGUGCAAACACGAAAGUGGACGUAUACGGUGUGACGCCUGCCCGGUGCCGGAAGGUUAAUUGAUGGGGUCAGCGCAAGCGAAGCUCUUGAUCGAAGCCCCGGUAAACGGCGGCCGUAACUAUAACGGUCCUAAGGUAGCGAAAUUCCUUGUCGGGUAAGUUCCGACCUGCACGAAUGGCGUAAUGAUGGCCAGGCUGUCUCCACCCGAGACUCAGUGAAAUUGAACUCGCUGUGAAGAUGCAGUGUACCCGCGGCAAGACGGAAAGACCCCGUGAACCUUUACUAUAGCUUGACACUGAACAUUGAGCCUUGAUGUGUAGGAUAGGUGGGAGGCUUUGAAGUGUGGACGCCAGUCUGCAUGGAGCCGGCCUUGAAAUACCACCCUUUAAUGUUUGAUGUUCUAACGUUGACCCGUGAUCCGGGUUGCGGACAGUGUCUGGUGGGUAGUUUGACUGGGGCGGUCUCCUCCUAAAGAGUAACGGAGGAGCACGAAGGUUGGCUAAUCCUGGUCGGACAUCAGGAGGUUAGUGCAAUGGCAUAAGCCAGCUUGACUGCGAGCGUGACGGCGCGAGCAGGUGCGAAAGCAGGUCAUAGUGAUCCGGUGGUUCUGAAUGGAAGGGCCAUCGCUCAACGGAUAAAAGGUACUCCGGGGAUAACAGGCUGAUACCGCCCAAGAGUUCAUAUCGACGGCGGUGUUUGGCACCUCGAUGUCGGCUCAUCACAUCCUGGGGCUGAAGUAGGUCCCAAGGGUAUGGCUGUUCGCCAUUUAAAGUGGUACGCGAGCUGGGUUUAGAACGUCGUGAGACAGUUCGGUCCCUAUCUGCCGUGGGCGCUGGAGAACUGAGGGGGGCUGCUCCUAGUACGAGAGGACCGGAGUGGACGCAUCACUGGUGUUCGGGUUGUCAUGCCAAUGGCACUGCCCGGUAGCUAAAUGCGGAAGAGAUAAGUGCUGAAAGCAUCUAAGCACGAAACUUGCCCCGAGAUGAGUUCUCCCUGACUCCUUGAGAGUCCUGAAGGAACGUUGAAGACGACGACGUUGAUAGGCCGGGUGUGUAAGCGCAGCGAUGCGUUGAGCUAACCGGUACUAAUGAACCGUGAGGCUUAACC
RNAcentral lists this ribosomal RNA (2893 nucleotides) under Escherichia coli. RNAcentral describes it as "bacterial LSU rRNA". It matches the Rfam family "Bacterial large subunit ribosomal RNA". The record is from RNAcentral. Lineage: Bacteria; Pseudomonadati; Pseudomonadota; Gammaproteobacteria; Enterobacterales; Enterobacteriaceae.